GCAGCUGCAGUGGCAGCGCUGGGGAGCGCGUGUGUGUGCGCGUGUGCGCCUGUGUGCCCGAGUACUAGUUGUACUGUACUGGCAGGAUGCGAGCGGGCGGGGAAGGGGAUGCGAGCCCGGGGAGGAGGCGCGCGCACCGGGUGGAGAGCCAGGGAGGGCUUCGCCGCCGCCUCCCUCCCUCCCUCCGCGGCUUGACCCGGUAGUGAAGGCGGAGAGAGAGAGAGAGAGAGGCAGGCCCUGAGCCGCCCCGCAGCCUGCGGGAGGAGGCAGGAGCCGGGAAGGAGGGGAGCUGAGGCCCGGCGUGGGCAGGCGGGCGAAGAGGGCCCCGAUCCCAGGGUGGACCUGUCUUCAGCUUCCCUGAGAGCCCGGCUGCUUGCCAGCAGGACGCCCCGACUUGCACACUUCCUAGCGCGGAAGGAAACGGGAAUUCGGGGACCCGCUGGCGAGCCCGGUGCCUGGUGGCCCAUCUGUGGCGCUGCCAGCCUGCUGGGGCUCCAUCCCGCUACGGGGACGCUAGAGUUCGGAGUCCUAGGGUGAAACUGCGGAUGGCCUGGCAGCCAGAGCGGGUGGCGAGAGACUCCACUUAGGCUCUCUUCACUUUUACAGUCUCACAGUCCUCGCGAACUUCUCAGAAGUACCCCUCCGGCAAGGGAAAGUUAGAGGAAGGCGUCCGGUCGUCCUGGCUGCAGGAGGAAGCUGUAGCUGCUUCCCUCAUCACCUCCUUCUCAACAGACUAUGAAAGCCAGAAGCACCUGGGCAGAUAUCAUGCAGACACUAAGAGAC
Molecule: long non-coding RNA, 783 nt
Organism: Meriones unguiculatus (Mongolian gerbil)
Lineage: Eukaryota; Metazoa; Chordata; Mammalia; Rodentia; Muridae
Exons: 2
Source: RefSeq, a predicted model, not a curated record